RNAcentral lists this ribosomal RNA (996 nucleotides) under Aspiciliella intermutans. RNAcentral's name for it is "SSU rRNA". It matches the Rfam family "Bacterial small subunit ribosomal RNA", at positions 398 to 1203 of the family's 1533-position model. The record is from RNAcentral. Lineage: Eukaryota; Fungi; Ascomycota; Lecanoromycetes; Pertusariales; Megasporaceae.
CACUUGGAGGAUGUAUAGCGAAAGCUAGUUGCAUUAAAUUCGAUUAAUUCGAAGUUAUUGCAGCAUCGACUAUGUCGAAUAAAGUUCUAGGUAGAGUUAUGAUAAUGACAUUUUCUAUCUAUGUGUCUUGACCAAAUCACGUGCCAGCAGUCGCGGUAAUACGUGGAAGACUAGUGUUAUUCAUCUUUAAUAGGUUUAAAGGGUACUUAGACGGUAUUUUUAGCCCAAAUAAAAACAAAGGGUACUAAUUAUACUAGAGUUUUAUGAGUGGGGGGUGCGUACGAAUGGUGUAGAGAUGAAAUUCUGUCAUACCAUUAUGACAGGCGACGGCGAAAGCAACCUUUAGUUAAAAACUGACGUUAAAGGACGAAGGCUUUGUAUCACCAACAGGAUUAGAUACCCAAGCAGUCUAAGCAGACAAUUAUGAAUGCCAUAGAUAAGAAAUCCAUGGAUAAAGAAGAAAACAUGUACUUUUCAGAAUGCCCUUUUUGGGCAUUGGUUUAUUAAAAAAAAAUAAACUUCUCCUCUUCACUUCUUCAUUUAUUGAAGAAAGAGAGAAGUCGAGAUGAAAAGAAUGGCUCGUAAUCUUAUCUAUCAUCAUCAUCUUUCAGAUGAUGAUGAAUACAUUUCUUUUAGACAGCGACUAUGUCGAAGUUAACAAAAAAAGAAAUAAAGGAUGUAUUUUUGUCUAUAAAUGAAAGUGUAAGCAUUCCACCUCAAGAGUAAAGUGGCAACGCACAAACUGAAAUCAUUAGACCGUUUCUGAAACCAGUAGUGAAGUAUGUUGUUUAAUUUUGAUGGUCCGCAAAAAACCUUACCACAAUUUGUAUAUUAUUAGCUUAAUACAAGAGUUGCACGGCUGUCUUCAGUUAAUGUCGUGAGAUUUUGGUUAGUUCCAUAAAAUUAACGUAAACCCUUACUUUAUUUAUAUUAUAAAGUAGUUCACCACUAUAUUGGAUAUGAUAAGAGGGACUAAGACAAGUCAUCAUGGCCUGA